GGGAUUGAAGUGGAAAUCCCACGCUUUUUAGCGUGGAUUGCAACGAAAAGCACGACCCGAC
This 61-nucleotide unclassified non-coding RNA is filed under the name Flavobacterium urumqiense. RNAcentral describes it as "Flavo-1 RNA". The record is from RNAcentral. Lineage: Bacteria; Pseudomonadati; Bacteroidota; Flavobacteriia; Flavobacteriales; Flavobacteriaceae.